GACAGAUUUCCAGCUUCUACGACGCUCUGCCUAAAUUAAAAAGCAACCAAUCGGAACGGCCGGAAGGGGGGCCGCGCGCCCUGAGCCAGUCAUUCCGGGCCUGCCAAUCACCCAGCGGGUAGCCAAUCAGCGGGGGCCCUGGUGCUCGACUUCCUUGUAUUUGGGAAAGUGUGGUGGUGGGUGCGCGCUCGCGGCGGAGGGUAAACAUUCGACAGUCCCUGCUCAGAGAGGGAGGGACAGAGAGCGAACUGUCAGAUCCCGGCGAGAGCGGGCGGGCGAGCGAGGGAGAGGGAGUGAGAGAGAGAGAGAGGAGAGGGAGAGAGGGAGAGAGAGAGAGGGAGGGAGAGGGAAAGUGAGCGAGGGAGCGAGAGCGCGAACGAGGGCGCAGAGCGAGCUCCCGCUGCAACUCCGCUCCGGCUCGGCCAGCGCCAGCGCCGUCGGUGCACCCUGCGAGCCGUGCAACGUGCCCACUGGAGUGGGUUGUGUAUCAAGGAUCCCCUAUAUGCACACACACACCUCCACCUCCACCAAUGCACUCUUCUUCCUCCUCCUCCUCCAGACAACUGCUGGGAAAAAAAUAAAACACCAGCCCCAACCGCCAGCAACAAGAGGCAACCAAGAGCUCCGGCAAUAGCAACUUCAGAGAAAUGCACCAUCGCAAGAAGUUUUCCUAGGACAGAGCAAAACUUGAAACGCAAGGACCAGAGGAGGAGGAGAGCAGGAGCCAGCCUCUCCUCUCCGCACACGCGAGCAGCCGGCAUCACCACGCCUUCAAGGACGGCAAAAAGUUUUGCUACUCCGGAGGAAAACGAGAGAAAUGUGUUCCUGAGGAGGAGAGCAGCGAGCGGGCGAGGCGAGGAGCGCUCCGGCUGCUGGGCGCCCGCGGUCUGGUCGAGGAAGAAAGGAGCGGCCGCUUUCUUUGUUGUCUCCCGUGAAACCUCCGCUGAGCAGGUGGACUGAGCCCCGCGCCCGGGCCGAGGAUAGCGGGAGCCGCGGGAGCCGCGGGAGCCGCGGGAGCCGCGGGAGCCGGCGCGCCCCGCC
RNAcentral lists this long non-coding RNA (1041 nucleotides) under Vulpes vulpes (red fox). RNAcentral's name for it is "lncRNA (ENSVVUG00000012536.1)". Lineage: Eukaryota; Metazoa; Chordata; Mammalia; Carnivora; Canidae. The record is from RNAcentral.